CCACACUUCUCCACAUCGUUCGGAAGGCAAAAUAGUCGAUUUCUCUCUCUAAAUUUCCCCUUUCCUUCCUGAAGUUCUCGUGUGUGGUUUUGGUUUCACGAAGAGAAAAAAGCCGAAAUCGUCUCUUAUUCAUUUUGACAAACUUGAUCCAUCGAUUGGAAGAUAGACUAAGUUAUGGAGAGGAUCGUUGGAGAGAAGUACAAGUUAGGCCGUAAGAUCGGCAGUGGAUCUUUUGGAGAAAUCUAUCUUGCGACCCAUGUUGACACGUAUGAGAUGGUUGCGGUGAAGAUCGAAAACAGCAAGACGAAACAUCCUCAGCUGCUUUAUGAAGCCAAGCUAUACAAUAUUCUUCAGGGAGGAAGUGGUAUUCCUGGAAUAAAAUGGUGUGGAGUAGAUGGGGAUGACAAUGUUCUUGUCCUUGAUUUGUUGGGACCAAGCCUUGAAGACCUAUUUGUCUACUGUGGAAGGAAGUUCUCACUGAAGACUGUCUUAAUGUUGGCAGAUCAGAUGAUUACAAGAAUAGAGUAUGUGCACUCUAAAGGAUUUUUGCAUAGGGAUAUCAAACCAGAUAACUUCCUGAUGGGUCUUGGUCGGAAAGCAAACCAGGUUUACAUUAUUGAUUUUGGUCUUGCAAAAAGAUAUCGGGAUGCUACAACUAAUCGACAUAUUCCUUACAGGGAGAACAAAAACUUAACAGGGACAGCACGUUAUGCAAGUUGCAAUACUCAUUUGGGUAUUGAGCAAAGCCGACGGGAUGAUUUGGAGUCUCUUGGCUAUGUUCUUUUGUAUUUCUUGAGAGGAAGCCUUCCGUGGCAGGGACUAAAAGCUGCCACAAAGAAGCAAAAAUAUGACAAGAUAUGUGAAAAGAAGUUAUCAACUCCCAUUGAAGUUCUUUGCAAGUCUCAUCCGGUGGAGUUUGCCUCAUAUUUCCAUUAUUGCCACUCCUUGACGUUUGAUCAACGACCUGAUUAUGGUUUUCUGAAACGUCUAUUUCGGGACUUGUUCACUCGUGAAGGAUAUGAGUUUGAUUAUAUAUUUGACUGGACCAUCUUAAAGUACCAGCAAGCGCAAAAGACAAAACCUCAGCCCCAAUUAUCUCCAGUUUCGGGAGGGACUAGUAGUCGAGCAAUGCCAAUGGAUGUUGAUAAGCAUCAAGGAGUGAACAAUGCUUCUUAUUCAGCUGAGGCUACAGAGCGAGUAAUAUCAAGUAAUGCUCCACGUCAUGGUGUUCGCAUGCAAUUUAAAUCUCCAGCGGACAAGAAUUUGACUGCUGAAAACGCUGUUGAUAGGAAUAACGUGAGCAAGUUCUCUGAGAAAGUUCAUGUGGGAUCUAGUUCAUUUCUUGCUGGUGCCUCCAAGAAAAAUGUUGUGAAACCAAUGGUGACAACUGAGGCUGUGCAUGCUAGUCAUGGGCUUGGCAGCAGAAUUGGUUCUUCAAGUAGUUGGCUUCCUUCACUACAACGCAACUCUUCAGCUAAGUGACUUCAAUCAAUCUAGAUGAGAAGACUCAUUUUGGACAAGAUUCAAAGGACAAAUGUAGAGAUGCUGUCUGGUGCCACAAAAGCUGCUUUUGCUCAAGUUCUUUUCUGAAUACCAGCUCUCAUGCAAUGUUUUCUUACGGUGACCAUAGACACAUUGGAUAAUGCAAAAUAUUGGUCAGCUCAAAAGCUUGGUUGCUGUUUUGUAUAUAGUUGGCUCGAAUUUCGCACACCAGUAUUCCAUUUUAAGGUUCCUUGUAACAUGGAUGGUACUCAAGUCCUGGAUCUGAAUAAAGUUAUCUAGUUUUCAGGUGCACAUUUUUCAUGAUUAUUAUUGUGGACAUUUUCACCAGGUACUGACAUGUUCUUUUAGUACGGCUUUAAUGGAAGCUUUAUAUCAUCAUGAUACACUGCUGUAGAUCUUAUCAAUUCUUUUGUCUUCAAAAUUGAUAUUACAGUUGAUUAAAUACGAAGUAAACAAUUGCAUGUGAGGAGCUCUGUUGAAUAAGAACUGUUCUAUGAAAAUAUUUUGCUUCAUAUGGAGGAAAGCAUUCUAAGAAUGAAUCUUGGGGUAAAUGUGUGGGAGGCUGCAAAAUAUAUUGAAGGGCUUCAGAGAGAUCAAGGUAGAUGAGAUCGUAAAGAUCAAAUUCAAUGGAUAUGAAUAAUUGACCGUGGCUGUUACCAUUUACCAACACCUGCUGAGGACUUUAGCUUUUUUCUCGUAAGAAUCAACACCAAGUUUGAAAGGUUUUUGGUAUAUCUACGUGGAAUGAUGUGACCAAUUUGCUACCUCACAGCGAUUGUUGUACUGUGGAACUGGAAGGGGAUUGGUAAGAUUGGACCCCUAGUAGAUGGAGCAAUGUGCCAAACGACAAGACGCAAUUGGUGAUGGAUUAAUUUCUUUACCUACUGUAAAGAAAAAUGGCGCUAGGAAGGUAUUCUGGUUGCAGAAGAGAGGCUAGUCCUUUAUGUUAACACUUUUUGGUUUCGUUAGUUUGGGGUGAAGUAACACCGUACAGUUGCCAAUUUUCCAUGUAUAUACCCAGUUGGAUUGCAGUCAAAAGGCAGCAGAGGGUGAUCUUUAGAUUUUAGUGAAUUAGAGAUGGCAACGGGGUACUCGAGCGAGAGUUGAUCAUAGGUUAUCGCAAACGGUGAUCCAUUCCAUUUCUAAAUUUCCUCUGGAGGGUAGACAAUUGUGAACAUUGCCAUCGGUAGGUCCUUUUUAUGCGAAGCUGGGUAGUUUUUAUCUGAUUCAGAUGUUUAAUUGUUAAACAAGUGGCCAAGCGUCAACAUUUUUAAA
This is a non-coding RNA of Nelumbo nucifera (sacred lotus), 2778 nucleotides long. Lineage: Eukaryota; Viridiplantae; Streptophyta; Magnoliopsida; Proteales; Nelumbonaceae. The record is from RefSeq and is a predicted model, not a curated record.